This 1556-nucleotide ribosomal RNA is filed under the name Staphylococcus aureus. Its description in RNAcentral is "16S ribosomal RNA". It matches the Rfam family "Bacterial small subunit ribosomal RNA". The record is from RNAcentral. Lineage: Bacteria; Bacillati; Bacillota; Bacilli; Caryophanales; Staphylococcaceae.
UUUUAUGGAGAGUUUGAUCCUGGCUCAGGAUGAACGCUGGCGGCGUGCCUAAUACAUGCAAGUCGAGCGAACGGACGAGAAGCUUGCUUCUCUGAUGUUAGCGGCGGACGGGUGAGUAACAACGUGGAUAACCUACCUAUAAGACUGGGAUAACUUCGGGAAACCGGAGCUAAUACCGGAUAAUAUUUUGAACCGCAUGGUUCAAAAGUGAAAGACGGUCUUGCUGUCACUUAUAGAUGGAUCCGCGCUGCAUUAGCUAGUUGGUAAGGUAACGGCUUACCAAGGCAACGAUGCAUAGCCGACCUGAGAGGGUGAUCGGCCACACUGGAACUGAGACACGGUCCAGACUCCUACGGGAGGCAGCAGUAGGGAAUCUUCCGCAAUGGGCGAAAGCCUGACGGAGCAACGCCGCGUGAGUGAUGAAGGUCUUCGGAUCGUAAAACUCUGUUAUUAGGGAAGAACAUAUGUGUAAGUAACUGUGCACAUCUUGACGGUACCUAAUCAGAAAGCCACGGCUAACUACGUGCCAGCAGCCGCGGUAAUACGUAGGUGGCAAGCGUUAUCCGGAAUUAUUGGGCGUAAAGCGCGCGUAGGCGGUUUUUUAAGUCUGAUGUGAAAGCCCACGGCUCAACCGUGGAGGGUCAUUGGAAACUGGAAAACUUGAGUGCAGAAGAGGAAAGUGGAAUUCCAUGUGUAGCGGUGAAAUGCGCAGAGAUAUGGAGGAACACCAGUGGCGAAGGCGACUUUCUGGUCUGUAACUGACGCUGAUGUGCGAAAGCGUGGGGAUCAAACAGGAUUAGAUACCCUGGUAGUCCACGCCGUAAACGAUGAGUGCUAAGUGUUAGGGGGUUUCCGCCCCUUAGUGCUGCAGCUAACGCAUUAAGCACUCCGCCUGGGGAGUACGACCGCAAGGUUGAAACUCAAAGGAAUUGACGGGGACCCGCACAAGCGGUGGAGCAUGUGGUUUAAUUCGAAGCAACGCGAAGAACCUUACCAAAUCUUGACAUCCUUUGACAACUCUAGAGAUAGAGCCUUCCCCUUCGGGGGACAAAGUGACAGGUGGUGCAUGGUUGUCGUCAGCUCGUGUCGUGAGAUGUUGGGUUAAGUCCCGCAACGAGCGCAACCCUUAAGCUUAGUUGCCAUCAUUAAGUUGGGCACUCUAAGUUGACUGCCGGUGACAAACCGGAGGAAGGUGGGGAUGACGUCAAAUCAUCAUGCCCCUUAUGAUUUGGGCUACACACGUGCUACAAUGGACAAUACAAAGGGCAGCGAAACCGCGAGGUCAAGCAAAUCCCAUAAAGUUGUUCUCAGUUCGGAUUGUAGUCUGCAACUCGACUACAUGAAGCUGGAAUCGCUAGUAAUCGUAGAUCAGCAUGCUACGGUGAAUACGUUCCCGGGUCUUGUACACACCGCCCGUCACACCACGAGAGUUUGUAACACCCGAAGCCGGUGGAGUAACCUUUUAGGAGCUAGCCGUCGAAGGUGGGACAAAUGAUUGGGGUGAAGUCGUAACAAGGUAGCCGUAUCGGAAGGUGCGGCUGGAUCACCUCCUUUCU